This 1079-nucleotide long non-coding RNA is filed under the name Bos taurus (domestic cattle). RNAcentral describes it as "long non-coding RNA NONBTAT001624". The record is from RNAcentral. Lineage: Eukaryota; Metazoa; Chordata; Mammalia; Artiodactyla; Bovidae.
AGGACAGAGGCCUGGCAACACCUUCAGGACGCAAGAUUCCUACUGAUCAGUUUAUUCUAAACUGCCUUACCCUGGACUGUCCGUGUUGACAACCAUAAAAAUUAAAGUGUGAAGAAGGUACAAAGUUCUGACAUCCAAAAACUUGAGAAUAAGUUUAUGAAGACAAAUUUCAUGUUCAUUGGUUGAACCAUAGCUCAGAUGAAGGAAGCAAGCUACUUAGAGAAAACAGGAUUACAGAGACUUUUACCCACUUUUCAGCUCAGCCUAGCAACUGCAGAGAGUCAGUAGACCUGGAGUAAGAUGUUUUCAUGUUAAUGAGAAUUUUCUUGGGACUUUCUACCUCCAUUCACCUUUGCCCUCACUGUUCUCUAGCUUGAUUAACUAUAAUCAGAUUCUCAUGCAAUACGCUUCUCUAUAGUCAUUGGUGUUGGGUCAGCUUAGACUGAACACUCCCACUAAAAGGAAGUGUGUACAGUUGAGAAACUCCUGAUGUCCUGUUACCAAGUUUGCGUUGACUGGAUCAGAACAAGCAACUUUUGCAAAGAGGCAAAUCUCCCUGGGAGGGAACUGCCAGCAUCUGAGUCAAAAUUCCUUUGAGAGGAACUAGAGUGGGGUGUUGAUGUCCAUGAGGUUGAAAGGGCUGGGUCUGAACCCCCAGGAAAUGUCUGGUUACCCGCAAAGAGGCCCACGUCUGAACAUUCAGCCAUAGGAAGAACACAUCUUCCUCAGGGCAGAGUCCAUGCUGGUGAAAGCCGGAUGUCUCUCUUGCUGUGACUUGGCCCACCUAGAUGGGACUUAAGGGUUGUUGAGUGGGGUUGGUUCUGUGAUUAAGAGGUGGUGCCCAUUUCUCUUCCAGAUGGAGUUCCCUCUUCACACGGUCAGCAUAUGAAUCUCCCCUCAAAGAUGCUGGUCUCCUCUGGGCUGUCUCGGGAUGCAGUGUGUUUCAGAUAACAAACACUGAGCAGGAAGUGAAGGCUUCCAAAAAAUAUCCGUCAUACUGCGCAUCUCUUCUCCACCUGUUGAGGUUAAUGGCACGCUGUAUUUUUCCUUCCUCAGAAUAUACUCUAGACUUGGGCAAA